Molecule: small nucleolar RNA, 104 nt
Filed under: Homo sapiens (human)
Lineage: Eukaryota; Metazoa; Chordata; Mammalia; Primates; Hominidae
Description: Small nucleolar RNA U13
Rfam family: Small nucleolar RNA U13
Source: Rfam by way of RNAcentral
AUGCUUUUGUGGUUCGUGAACCUGAUGAUUGGGUGUUCAUGUAUGUGUGUGAGAUGUACCACCCUCGAACCUUGUUAUGACGUCAGCACAUUACCCAUCUGACC